GGAGAGGUCGCAUAGUCUGGACUAGUGCGCGCGCCUGGAAAGCGCGUAGGCCCUCGUGGUCUCGUGGGUUCGAAUCCCACCCUCUCCGCCA
This 91-nucleotide transfer RNA is filed under the name Chloroflexota bacterium. Its description in RNAcentral is "tRNA-Ser". It matches the Rfam family "tRNA". Rfam says of the family: Transfer RNA (tRNA) molecules are approximately 80 nucleotides in length. Their secondary structure includes four short double-helical elements and three loops (D, anti-codon, and T loops). Lineage: Bacteria; Bacillati; Chloroflexota. The record is from RNAcentral.